GCCGCGUGAGUGAAGAAGGUUUUCGGAUCGUAAACUCUGUUGGUAGAGAAGAACGUUGGUGAGAGUGGAAAGCUCAUCAAGUGACGGUAACUACCCAGAAAGGGACGGCUAAAUACGUGCCAGCAGCCGCGG
Molecule: ribosomal RNA, 132 nt
Filed under: uncultured bacterium
Lineage: Bacteria
Description: partial 16S ribosomal RNA
Rfam family: Bacterial small subunit ribosomal RNA
Source: RNAcentral